Molecule: ribosomal RNA, 264 nt
Filed under: Triticum aestivum (bread wheat)
Lineage: Eukaryota; Viridiplantae; Streptophyta; Magnoliopsida; Poales; Poaceae
Description: partial small subunit ribosomal RNA
Source: RNAcentral
AUGGCCACGUGCACGAUCUGUGGAAUGGAGGAUGAGACAGAGUAUCAUGCAGUGAUUGCCUGUACUAAGGCAAAAGCGCUUCGGUCUGAAAUCCGAAAAGCCUGGAAGUUGCCGGCGGAGGAAAAAUUUCAGUACACCGGAGAUGACUGGCUAUUAUGCCUGUUGAGUGCAUGUGAUGAAGUAACUAGAAGAAUAAUCCUUCUAAUAAUCUGGAGAGCGUGGCAUCUCCACAACAACAGUGUGCAUGAGGAAGGAAAAGCUUCA